AAUGAUAAACAUCUGAAAAAGUGGUUCAGAGUAGAAUAAAAUAUUUCUAUUGGAUUAUAAAUGAAGGCACCUAAUUCAUUCAGGAUCAGCAAGACCUUGCUAGUAACAUUUGUUGCAUGGUAAGAAAAUAAACAAUAAUCCAAACCUCAAUUUGAGACCCCUACACAAAAGAUGUGUCUGUGAGUUUGUACCUACCAGCCUUGCUAUUCCUGACCUUUAAAUGAGGGAUGGAGGUAGUGGAGAUGGGUAUAAUGAAGGAAUUUCCCUCAUGAAUCUUUUUGAUUUUUGAUUUUGAUUGAUGUUGGGACAAACACAGCAAAUAUAAGAGUUCUAGAUGUGAAUGAGUUUCAAUGUUUGACUCUGUGCAAUGAGGACUGAAGGAAGUGAAUUAAAUAUUUGUUUAUGGAAAGGUGACCACGUAAAAUGGAAUAUACUAAAUUUGUCAAUCAUUUCUGCAGAGGCUGAGGUAUAUAUGCAGAUAUCCCUGCACAGAUAAGCAGUAGGUAUCCUGGUGAGGCAUUCUUAUGGUACACAUUAAAUGUAUACUUUGUAUAACGGUGCUAAUUUUCAAAGUAAUAAAACAAAAAACACUCUUCCUUACUUUCCUCUGCAAAUGGCUGUUCCACAGAACAGCUUAGGUGGCUUGUAGAAUAGAAUAAUUACACCCCAAAAAGUGAAUCUAUGCUUUCUGUAACUGAACACUUUUUCCCUAAGGAGAGCUUGUAUAGGCUCAGUCAAGCUGACAGAGGUUGCACUUCAGCAUGGAAUCUUGCCAGUUUCUCUCAUUGGUUGAGGCUGUGAUUAAUACUGGCUGUCUUUGCUGCAGGAUAAUCCUUGAAUUGGCAACAUGUUCCUGUAAUUCUCAGUCAGUGACAUUUAAGAAAAGCCCUUCAUUUUCAAAAACUUCAAAACAAAAAAGGAGGCACACGUGUGUGGCAACAGAAUGAAGGAGGCAGGCAAGUGUGCACAGCGACAAAACAAGGGAGAGAGAUGCAUGCGCGUGGUGACAGGACAAGGGAAACAGCAGAAUGUGUGUGGUGACAAAACAAUGGAGGCCUUGAAAUUAAAACUAUGGGGGUGUCAAACUAAACUCUGCUCUCUCUCCACCAUGACUCUGUAUUGACUCCUCGCAGAAAUUGGUUUCUGUGAUCAUGUUAAACAGCUACAUUGCAGAGAAGCAAAACACCUUUCUCCACCACUUGGUGGGAAUAACUCAAUUUCUAAAAUUUGACAGCUACAGAUGGCUGAAAAUUGCUAGGUUUUUUUUUUGACAAGAACUUUGCAAGACUGUACAUUUAUUUGAAAAAUUGAAGGGAAAAUCUUGAGACAUUAAAGCUUUCAAGUGAGAAAGAAAGGAAACUGACAGAUUUGUCCAAUACUGUGAAAUAAAUACAAUAGUUCCAAAUUUGCCUUUGUUAGUUUGGUGUUUUCUAGCUUUUUGGACCAAAAAUUUCAUUAUUCCAAGGCAAAUGAAAAAGCAUUGUGUGUAGUUCAAACAUAUUAAAAGUAGCAGACUGAAGAUGCAUGCUAUAUUGUACUAGAUGGGACAAUUAUUUGAUUUACUGUACAUUUCAAAUUUAAAAUGCUCUUCCCCUGGUGCGACAUGGAAUCAUAGAUGUGUCUUAUGUAUUUUUCCAGUUUUGGUGGUACUAAAUUUAGAGUGUAUCUUAUUGAUGGCAUCUUGAUGGCAAGAAAAUGCAUUAUCAUUUUUAUUGUUAUUCAGCAUCAUGUAUUCUCUGUGAAAAUCAGGAUGUCAUUGCAAUUUGUAGUACUCUUCUUAAACUUCUUUUUUCCUUGUUGCGCUCCCUCCAUCUGUUACAUAUUGCUAAAUUUCUGUGCCAUAUGUAUAAAUUUGGCAUGUUGUGUUCACAUUUUCUGAGUACCAGCAUAGUGUAGUCAUUUGAGUAUUGGACUA
Anolis carolinensis (green anole) is the source of this 1915-nucleotide long non-coding RNA. RefSeq lists it as uncharacterized. The record is from RefSeq and is a predicted model, not a curated record. The transcript is spliced from 4 exons. NCBI's taxonomy places the organism in Eukaryota, Metazoa, Chordata, Lepidosauria, Squamata, Anolidae.